Molecule: long non-coding RNA, 486 nt
Filed under: Gossypium raimondii (Peruvian cotton)
Lineage: Eukaryota; Viridiplantae; Streptophyta; Magnoliopsida; Malvales; Malvaceae
Description: long non-coding RNA (GRAI_LNC010034)
Source: RNAcentral
GAAGAUUAAAAGAAAAUAUGAAAACCACAGACCCACCUCAAGCAUCGAAAGUGGUCGUUUCCCUAGAGCCUGAAAACUCCCCUUGAGAAUUAUUAGAAUUUGCUAGCAGACCAUCAAAACCAAUCCUAUCUACAACUCUUGGCAUUGCUUUAGCAAUAGAUUAACAACUGAAUGCCUUCACUUUAAAUUUACUACCUUUGCCUUGUAAAUUAUGAGAACCUCUCUUUAACCAUCUGUGGUCCCCAAAUUUCAACAGAGAUGAGGAAGCCCUUGAAGUCAUAUCACCAAAAGGAGUAUUGGGUUUUCGAUUUUCAACAAACUUGGAGCUAAAUUUUUCCACAGAAGUAACAAAUGUGUCUUUCGUUAGCUAACUUGGAGCUUCAAAUUGAUGUACAGUAGGACUGGAACGAGGAUUGCCCAAUGAUAACCCCCUGUUAGGUGCUUCGGUCUUCGAAGAAAGUGGGAAUUUUUUUGGGGCUUGUGUCG